This 561-nucleotide ribosomal RNA is filed under the name Hemigrammus armstrongi. RNAcentral's name for it is "partial large subunit ribosomal RNA". It matches the Rfam family "Bacterial large subunit ribosomal RNA", at positions 1841 to 2608 of the family's 2925-position model. Lineage: Eukaryota; Metazoa; Chordata; Actinopteri; Characiformes; Acestrorhamphidae. The record is from RNAcentral.
UGUUAUUAGAGGUCCUACCUGCCCAGUGACUAAGUUAAACGGCCGCGGUAUUCUAACCGUGCGAAGGUAGCGCAAUCACUUGUUUUUUAAAUGAAGACCUGUAUGAAUGGUGAAACGAGGGCUUAACUGUCUCCCCUUUCUAAUCAGUGAAAUUGAUUUUCCCGUGCAGAAGCGGGAAUAAAUAUACAAGACGAGAAGACCCUAUGGAGCUUAAGACAUCAAAUCAACUAUGUUAAAACCCCAUAUAAACGGAAUUAAACCUUAUAGAACUGAUUAACGUCUUCGAUUGGGGCAAUCGCGGGGAAAAACAAAUCCCCCAUGUGAAGCAAGACACUUCUCAAAACCACGAGGCACACCUCUAAGCCACAGAACCUCUGACCGCAAGAUCCGGCAUUAAGCCGAUCAACGGACCAAGUUACCCUAGGGAUAACAGCGCAAUCCCCUCCAAGAGUCCAUAUCGACAAGGGGGUUUACGACCUCGAUGUUGGAUCAGGACAUCCUAAUGGUGCAGCCGCUAUUAAGGGUUCGUUUGUUCAACGAUUAAAGUCCUACGUGAUCUGA